Molecule: ribosomal RNA, 219 nt
Filed under: Citrobacter freundii
Lineage: Bacteria; Pseudomonadati; Pseudomonadota; Gammaproteobacteria; Enterobacterales; Enterobacteriaceae
Description: partial 16S ribosomal RNA
Rfam family: Bacterial small subunit ribosomal RNA
Source: RNAcentral
AAAUUGAAGAGUUUGAUCAUGGCUCAGAUUGAACGCUGGCGGCAGGCCUAACACAUGCAAGUCGAACGGUAGCACAAAGGAGCUUGCUCCUUGGGUGACGAGUGGCGGACGGGUGAGUAAUGUCUGGGAAACUGCCCGAUGGAGGGGGAUAACUACUGGAAACGGUAGCUAAUACCGCAUAACGUCGCAAGACCAAAGUGGGGGACCUUCGGGCCUCAC